UCCACAGUAGCUCAGUGGUAGAGCUAUCGGCUGUURACCGAUCGGUCGUAGGUUCGAGUCCUACCUGUGGAGCCA
RNAcentral lists this transfer RNA (75 nucleotides) under Staphylococcus aureus. RNAcentral's name for it is "tRNA-Asn". It matches the Rfam family "tRNA". From Rfam's summary of the family: Transfer RNA (tRNA) molecules are approximately 80 nucleotides in length. Their secondary structure includes four short double-helical elements and three loops (D, anti-codon, and T loops). The record is from RNAcentral. Lineage: Bacteria; Bacillati; Bacillota; Bacilli; Caryophanales; Staphylococcaceae.